This 255-nucleotide ribosomal RNA is filed under the name Schizochytrium aggregatum. RNAcentral's name for it is "partial Bacterial large subunit ribosomal RNA". It matches the Rfam family "Bacterial large subunit ribosomal RNA", at positions 2628 to 2897 of the family's 2925-position model. The record is from RNAcentral. Lineage: Eukaryota; Bigyra; Thraustochytrida; Thraustochytriidae.
AGUUCGGUCCCUAUCUGCCGUGGGCGUUUGAUAUUUGAGAGGAGUUGACCUUAGUACGAGAGGACCGGGUUGAACGUAUCUCUGGUGUUCCGGUUGUCACGCCAGUGGCAUCGCCGGGUAGCUAUGUUCGGAAGGGAUAACCGCUGAAAGCAUCUAAGCGGGAAGCCUCCCUCGAGAUAAGAUUUCAUAGAGCCGUCGGAGACCACGACGUUGAUAGAUCGGAUGUAGAAGUGCGGUAACGCAUGGAGCUAACCG